AGAGUUUGAUCCUGGCUCAGAACGAACGCUGGCGGCAGGCCUCAUACAUGCAAGUCGCGCGAUUAAAGCCCCUUCGGGGGUGUAUAAAGCGGCGAACGGGUGAGUAACAGGUGGAUAACCUACCCCCCGGCGGGGGAUAACAACUGGAAACGGUUGCUAAUACCGCAUGUGGUUGCGGAGACCUUGGUCUCUGCAAAGAAAGGCGCUUCACGGCGCCGCCGGGAGAUGGGUCCGCCCCCCAUUAGCUAGUUGGCGGGAUAACAGCCCACCAAGGCUUCGAUGGGUAGCCGAGCUGAGAGGUUGAUCGGCCACACUGGAACUGAGAUACGGUCCAGACACCUACGGGUGGCAGCAGUAGGGAAUAUUGCGCAAUGGGCGAAAGCCUGACGCAGCCAUGCCGCGUGAGUGACGAAGGUCUUCGGAUUGUAAAGCUCUUUUCUGAGGGAAGAACCGCCGGGGCAGGAAAUGGUCCCGGUCUGACGGUACCUCAGGAAUAAGGAACGGCUAACUCCGUGCCAGCAGCCGCGGUAAUACGGAGGUUCCAAGCGUUGUUCGGAUUUACUGGGCGUAAAGGGAGCGCAGGCGGACAGGUCAGUGGAAAGUGGAAGCCCGGGGCUCAACCUCGGACGUGCUUUCCAUACUGCCUGUCUCGAGUUCGUGAGAGGAAGGCGGAAUUCAGGGUGUAGCGGUGAAAUGCUUAGAUAUCCUGAGGAACACCGGUGGCGAAAGCGGUCUUCUGGCACGAUACUGACGCUGAGGCUCGAAAGCGUGGGGAGCGAACGGGAUUAGAUACCCCGGUAGUCCACGCCGUAAACGUUGUGCACUAGGUGUGUGAGGUAUCGACCCCUUACGUGCCGCAGCUAACGCAUUAAGUGCACCGCCUGGGGAGUACGGUCGCAAGACUGAAACUCAAAGGAAUUGACGGGGGCCCGCACAAGCGGUGGAGCAUGUGGUUUAAUUCGAGGCAACGCGAAGAACCUUAUCCUGGGCUUGACAUACACGGAUUAGUUCAUGGAAACAUGAAUGACGCUCUUCGGAGUGGAACGUGAACAGGUGCUGCAUGGCUGUCGUCAGCUCGUGCUGUGAAGUGUCGGGUUAAGUCCCUCAACGAGCGCAACCCCUAUCGUUAGUUGCCAGCGCGUAAUGGCGGGGACUCUAGCGAGACUGCCGGUGUCAAACCGGAGGAAGGUGGGGAUGACGUCAAGUCCUCAUGGCCUUUAUGCCCAGGGCUGCAAACGUGCUACAAUGGUAUGGACAGAGCGAAGCGAGGCCGCGAGGCGGAGCAAAUCGCAGAAACCAUGCCCCAGUUCAGAUUACAGUCUGCAACUUGACUGUAUGAAGUUGGAAUCGCUAGUAAUCGGGGAUCAGCUACGCCCCGGUGAAUAUGUUCCUGAGCCUUGUACACACCGCCCGUCAGGUCAUGGAAGCCGGGAGUGCCCGAAGUCGCUAUAUCUCAAUAGUGCCCACGGCAAGUUCGGUGACUGGGACU
This 1489-nucleotide ribosomal RNA is filed under the name metagenome. Its description in RNAcentral is "bacterial SSU rRNA". It matches the Rfam family "Bacterial small subunit ribosomal RNA". The record is from RNAcentral.